This 320-nucleotide long non-coding RNA is filed under the name Trifolium pratense (red clover). RNAcentral's name for it is "long non-coding RNA (TPRA_LNC012347)". The record is from RNAcentral. Lineage: Eukaryota; Viridiplantae; Streptophyta; Magnoliopsida; Fabales; Fabaceae.
CACAUAUCUCUUGGACAAUCAGAGUCUUCAUUGCAGGUAAAUUGACUUAAGGGAAAUUCAACUGUGAUGUAAAUAAGAAUAAAUGAAUGUUACUAAAAGAUGAUGAAAUAUUAUGUAUAAGAUAAAGAAAAAAAAAUUGAAAAUAUAUAGUAGUAUGAAAAAUGACUUACUCCCAUUGGUUACAACAAGAAAUAGAGAAAUAAAAGUAAUUAAAACAUAAAGGAACUUGAGAAUUAAAGCCAUAUUUUUUUUUCCUCCUUUGCAUAUAAUAAAUAGACAAUUGUUUGAUCAAUUUAUAUAGUCAAAAUUUCAUGAUUUUU